Molecule: non-coding RNA, 54 nt
Filed under: unclassified sequences
Description: DUF3800-VI RNA
Rfam family: DUF3800-VI RNA
About the family: Actinobacteria, Planctomycetes, Proteobacteria, Spirochaetes. Nearby to DUF3800
Source: RNAcentral
CGGUUGGGAGAGCUGCAUGAUUGCGGUUCGUCGGGGUCAUCCCCGCCCGGCCGC